AAACCUACAAGCCCUUCCGG
RNAcentral lists this small nuclear RNA (20 nucleotides) under Arabidopsis thaliana (thale cress). RNAcentral's name for it is "snRNA_18778". The record is from RNAcentral. Lineage: Eukaryota; Viridiplantae; Streptophyta; Magnoliopsida; Brassicales; Brassicaceae.